RNAcentral lists this transfer RNA (73 nucleotides) under Ovis aries (sheep). It matches the Rfam family "tRNA". From Rfam's summary of the family: Transfer RNA (tRNA) molecules are approximately 80 nucleotides in length. Their secondary structure includes four short double-helical elements and three loops (D, anti-codon, and T loops). The record is from Rfam by way of RNAcentral. Lineage: Eukaryota; Metazoa; Chordata; Mammalia; Artiodactyla; Bovidae.
UUCUUGGUGGCUCAGAAUGUAAAGCAUCUGCCUGCAACACAGGAGACCCAGGUUCAAUCUCUGGGCUGGGAAG